RNAcentral lists this long non-coding RNA (424 nucleotides) under Setaria viridis. Its description in RNAcentral is "long non-coding RNA (SVIR_LNC000281)". Lineage: Eukaryota; Viridiplantae; Streptophyta; Magnoliopsida; Poales; Poaceae. The record is from RNAcentral.
UGUAUGGGAUAUUGUGAUUAAGAUUCUUGGUGUGUGUGGGGUUAAAAAUGGCAGGAGAAGGUGUUUUUGGGAUACUUGACGGGGGUGAGCCUUACACAACCCAAUCUUCGGAUUGGGGGCUUGGGGUCCAUUCUCAGACGUUCCCUGUUUGGUAUUUGUUGUGAGUACACAGCUGAGGAGCAUAGGAGUUGGUGAUGAUACCUAUUAUGGGUGUCAUUGCGGACCACGUUGUGGAUACGCUUUUGGGAGUUAGGAGCUCGCCCUGUUCUGAAACCGAGUGGGUCGCCGUGCUUCACGGGAAUAUGUUAAAUGUGCAUGCCACUCAUCGAAUUAUGGGUCUACGCCCGGGUCGAGACUGGCAAGUGCGGUACCAUACCUGCCGUAGGAUAGAGUAUCAGUGUAGGAGGGAGUGGUGCUGACCUUU